GAUGAAGAACGCAGCGAAAUGCGAUAAGUAGUGUGAAUUGCAGAAUUCAGUGAAUCAUCGAAUCUUUGAACGCACAUUGCGCCCCUUGGUAUCCCGGGGGGCAUGCCUGUUCGAGCGUCAUUUCACCACUCAAGCCUGGCUUGGUGUUGGGCGACGUCCCCUUUGGGGACGCGCCUCGAAACGCUCGGCGGCGUGGCACCGGCUUUAAGCGUAGCAGAAUCUUUCGCUUUGGAAGUCGGGGCCCCGUCUGCCGGAAGACCUACUCGCAAGGUUGACCUCGGAUCAGGCAGGGAUACCCGCUGAACUUAAGCAUAUCAAUAAGCGGAGGA
RNAcentral lists this unclassified non-coding RNA (329 nucleotides) under soil metagenome. RNAcentral describes it as "partial contains 5.8S ribosomal RNA, internal transcribed spacer 2, and large subunit ribosomal RNA". The stretch from base 1 to 120 matches the Rfam family "5.8S ribosomal RNA", at positions 35 to 154 of the family's 154-position model. The record is from RNAcentral.